This 253-nucleotide ribosomal RNA is filed under the name uncultured Cesiribacter sp. RNAcentral describes it as "partial 16S ribosomal RNA". It matches the Rfam family "Bacterial small subunit ribosomal RNA", at positions 524 to 776 of the family's 1533-position model. Lineage: Bacteria; Pseudomonadati; Bacteroidota; Cytophagia; Cytophagales; Cesiribacteraceae. The record is from RNAcentral.
UACGUAGGUGGCGAGCGUUGUCCGGAUUUAUUGGGUUUAAAGGGUGCGUAGGCGGCUAUUUAAGUCAGUGGUGAAAUACGGCAGCUUAACUGUCGAGGUGCCAUUGAUACUGGGUAGCUUGAGUACUGAUGAGGUAGGCGGAAUGGACGGUGUAGCGGUGAAAUGCUUAGAGAUCGUCCAGAACACCGAUAGCGAAGGCAGCUUACUAAGGAGUAACUGACGCUGAGGCACGAAAGUGUGGGGAUCAAACAGG